UUUCCCCCCAGUCCAUAGUUGUCUUUUCAUUUUGUUUAUGCAAAAGCUUAUAAGUCUGAUUAAGUCUCAUUUGUUUAUUUUCGCUUUUAUUUCUAUUGCCUUUGGAGGCUGACCUAAGAAAACAUUGAUAUGAUUUAUCAGAGAAUGUCUUGCCUAUGUUCUCUUGUAGGAGUUUUAUGGUGUCAUGUCUUAUAUUUAAGUUUUUAAGCCAUUUUGAGUUUAUUUUUGUGUAUAGUGUUAGCGUGUAUUCUAAAUUCAUUGAUUUACAUGCAGCUGUCCAACUUUCCCAGCACUGCUUGCUGAAGAGACUGUCUUUAAGGAAGAUAGCUUUGAAGGGGAUGUAGGCAAGGCUUACAUCAUAUCCUGGGCAUUGUAGAGGGAGCCCUGAUUUGGUAAGAAAUAUCGGGACAGCAGUUGGCUAGGAGUAAGGCAAAAGUAGUUUCUAAUCCAUGGUGCCUUAGGAAAAAGGUUGACCUAAAGAAGUUUAACCUGUGAUGAAAAAAAACAUUAGAGGAACCCAUAUUAUCUGUUCACCUGAAAUAUCAGUGGUCCUGAUAAUACGUUGUCAGAGGUCAUCACAGGUGCCAUCUUUCUGAAUGUUUAUCCCCCACCAACCACAGAUUGAGUUGCCCCCUUCCUGGUCACUUUCCCCCUCCAUCCCAUGUUUUCACAUCCCCUGAUUUUGAACCUGGAAAUAGUUCUAAUACUAGAUGCCUUACAAAGGCAGAUGAAAUUUGAAAUAACUGGGUAACUAGAAAGAAAUGCCAAUGCUUCUUUCUUGGAAUGAGGGUUGGCAAGAUAGAAGCUGAUCAAAUAGAUAGGUGUGUUUCAUGAAGGGCUUUUUGCUAUUUUGUCCUUUUCUGGAUAAGUACCGCUGGCUAGAGAGAAUGCAAAACUUUGUGGAACUGUAAUACCUACAGCUGUUCUAAUAGUUCUUAGAAUCCUUUGACCAAAGGGGAAAAGAUGCACUGAAAGUCUGAGAGAAUGUCAUUGCAAUGAAUAUAUAUCUUUCUAUUGAACAUAGAAUAUUAAAAAAAAGGAAUACAAAUUAUUGGUUAGAAGGCAGUUGUAUAAUUUUACAACUGGAUUCUUAGGUAAAACUAUGGUAAAUUGAAUAUACUUCUGAAAAGAGCUCUCAAAAACACUUUGUGUUAUGUCGAUAUUGGUAAGUUUUGGAAAAGGAAAGGCAGAGAUGAUGCUGUACAUGGCUAUUAUUGAUAGGGUUCCAAAACCAAGUGAUGCUGUAAGGCAGAGUCUUGAUGUACUGACGUGUGCCUGGAAGUUGCAGUGGAGGGAAGUGUUGAAGGGGUAUUGAAGUCUCUAGGGAAGAAGGCUCAGUGUGGAGCCAGCUUUGCCCAGUGUUGCUGACUACCCAAGCAACGUGUUGAGGAAGCAAGAGCCUGGGUUUGGAGCCACUAGACCUGAGUCUAUGUUCUAAGUCAGUGCCUCUCAUUUCUGUGACUCUGUUUCUUCACCCAUAAAAUCUUCAUCCUCGUAGUGCAUACCUCUGUAGUAAAGAUGAAAUGGGAUAUUGAGGGGGAAGAGCCUUUCAAACUACAAAGUAUUAUGCAAAAUUUAUUCUCAUUUUCUAGCUAUCUACUUUGGAUUUAACUUUAGUACAUUAUAUAUAUAUAUAUAUAUAGUCUCUCGUUUGAGUUUUUUUUUAAUUUCAUAGGAGAAUUUUUUUUUUUUUGGCUGUGGUAUGCAGUGGCUUGAUGUAGGAUCUCAGUUCCAAUAUCAAGGAUUGAACCUGGGCUGCAGCAGUGAAAGUGCUGAGUCCUAACCAUUAGACUACCAGGGAACUCCAGAUUAUUGUGUUUCUGUCUUCCUGCUCAGAAUCCCGGAUUACUGAACCUUUGAGAGAUCUCCAGAAGCCCCAGAGGCCUCAUAUAAAUUACCAGGCAGCAGAGUGAAAUCUGGUAUGACCCUGAGUCCAUUGAAGGGGUGUUCAGAAAUGCAGGUUCAACAGCGCUAUUUGCAGUCAUUCCACAUGACGAUGCCAGCCUGAAAUCCCCAACCGUGGUCCAAUGGGAUGCUUGCUGAAAUAUAUAGUUAAUAGGAGGAGGAGAUUGGAUUAUAAAUCUUUAGAAGUAAGCCUUAUGAGAUAAUAUCUGAUGCAGGAACCUCAAGGGAAACUAAAUUCUUUAAUCGAUUGAAAACCUGCCUUGCAAAAGCUUUUAAACAUUCAAACACCACCGUAUAAAUCAAGUUAGAAAUAUCCCACCAAGGAAUAAAGGAGUUCCUGCCAUGUAAAAUAUUAAUUUAUCUUUUCAAGGCAGAACAAACACUUCAUUUAGAAGAACGUUGGCUAGGCAGUGGUGGAAAAAGCAGAAAAUGUAGAAUAAACUCAUUGUGUUGACCUUGGAUGCCCACUUAAAUGUCUUGGGUCUUUGGGCUUUUUCUGUUGCUGAAAAACUAAGGUCUUUUAAUGCUAAAACAUGGUUCCAGCAUAUUUUACUGGAAGUUGUUCUGUGUUUGAUCCCAUAUUCCAGGGCAAUUAUUCCCAACUAUGUAUUAGAAAAUGAUCUGCAAUUCAGCAGUUGACUUCAGCCUGGAAUUUGUGCUCCUGGAAUGGUAAAGGAGAGUAACAUUGGAUUUUAAAAUACCAUUGCUCUGUAAAAACAACUAUGAAUGAAGCAUAAAAGGGCAAAUAUCUAGCACAUGGCCAUUCCUUCAUUUGCUACAAUAUACAUGCAUCAGGGGUAACACUAAAGCCAGCCUGGAAGACUCCCAGAAAGGAAACUAUAUGAUUAGCCAAGUUGAAACCUGAUUUGCAUCUAAAAAAUGUAGGGUAUGCUCGUUUAUGUGCAAAUGUAAUGGAAAAAGGCUGUAGGUAAAGUAGCUAAAGCCUAAACAAAAUAAACACUUAAUUUUCUUUUAUUGUAUCCUGUGACUAUUAAUAAUAUUAUGGUACCAAGUCAGAAACAUUAAGCCAAGCAGGGGAGCAAUAAAUGUUUCUAGACUGUUGAUAUUAGCAACUAAUCGCUCCAGAGUUCACAUAAAAUGUGGAUGGAAGUACAAAGAAGAUAGUUGAUGAAGUCAGCAAUGGCAGGAACUCUUCACAGGUGAAAGCAAUAACUAGAGGGCUCGCAGGACAGGGGCAGGGCCUGGAGAGGCAAUCAGAGAUCAAGCAAGGCCUUGGAAAAUCAUUGCUUUUUAAACGUGUCGGUACCUAUUGACAUGAGGAUAUUCUUAGGCUUAUAAAGUUCUUGAUCUUAAUCUCAGCUAACAAUACUGUUUGGGAAUUUGCAGAACUCUAUCUAUAUCAUUUUAUAAUGGUCAUGACUCACUGAUACAGGCAAGGUGGCUUAGGGUUUUUCUUAUCUUAAAGAGGAAGAAAUCAGCGUUGUGAGUAUGGUCAGAGGACAGGUAAGACUCAGGAGUAAAACUCUAGUCUUGUGAUUCCAGCUCUCAUGUUCUUUGAAUGAUCUUCCUUAAAUCAUUAUAUAUAGAGAGAGAUAAAUAUAGAGAGAUAUAUAACACAUAUAUGUGUGUGUAUAAUAAUAUAUAUUAAAAUAUAUACACAUUUAAUAUAUAAUGUAUGUAUGUUUGUGUAUAUAUAUACUUAAACAUUCAUAUAUGUGUGUGUGCAUAUGUAUGCAUGUAUAUAUGUCAUGUAAAAUGGUAUUUGGGGCUUUCAUCUCUAAUGGUAUGUUAGACACAGACAACUCCAAUCGUCCCAGCAAGAAAAUCAAAAUUCUGGUUAGAGUGUAAAACAGACAAAGCUAAUAAUUUAAAAAUGGAUUACACAGCUGGUACAAAAGCCAGGAUUUUAUAGAGGCCAACAUUUAAAUAACAACACAGAUUUAGGAGAGAAGAAUAUACCCAGACACUGGAGGGUAUCUGCGGAUCCAUGAGCUUCCACUCUGCUGACUUCACUGUGUGACAUGACCUGCAGAGAAAGCUCAGGGAACUCAAGGUGAGACCCCCAAGGACUGUGAUCUCAGAGUGAUCAGUGCUAGAAGUAGGUACACAGCCCCCAGCAGGGAUGCUAGCAGGACUUAAACCAUUUAAUUAAACAUUGUUUAGGAUCGGUGGGCAAAAGCAAAUAUUCCUUCCCUGGAAGAAUGCAACUUCGACCUAGGCCUCCAAACAUACCCACAAAAAAUAUCCUGUAGAACAUAAAUUCACAGUCAAAAAUCACAAAACACAAAGGGAGAUGUGGCAUGAUAAAGGAAAACCAGAAAAUAGCAGACCUCUGGAGAUUUUGAUGCCAGAUAUAUUAGGCACAUAAUAUUAAAUCUUUAUGUUUCAGGUUGUGGUUGAGAUGGCUAGUUAUUCAUAAAAUUAAUUUUUACCAGUUGCAUAGGAAUAGAAGUGUAGCGUCAUGACUGCUUAGUUGGACUACAUUUCCCCGGUUUCCUUUGCAAUCAGAUGUGCACUAUAGCAACUAGUUUCUCACAGAUAGAAUGUGCAUGGCAGUGAUACAUGUCACUGUCCCCUCUUGCCCUUUCACACUUGGCUGGAGCCCAGAUGAAGCCCAGAUGAGCCAAAACCCAGAUUUCACUGUUCACAUGUUGACAGCAUCCUCAGGGAUGGAGGACCAAUGGCUUGGAUGGGACCUGGCUCUCUGAAUGGGCAACAGAAAGACCUGGGUCAUUCACACUGAAACCAGGUGACAGAAACCUCUGAGUUCUUUGUCUCAGUAUCAUAUUGCCAAACCUCUAGCUUUAAGCUUAAUAAUGCAUAUCUGCUAAAAACAAAAUAGUAGACAAGCUUGAACAUACAAGCCAAACCAAAACUACCAAAUAAAUAAAUAAAAGAUCAAGGAGAGAUAUUUGAAAAGGAAUGAAAUACAACUUUCAGAAAAAAAAAAUCAUUCAAAUUAGAAACAUAAAAUAUAGGUAAAUGGAAAAAGUAUCCAUAUUUCCAAAGAUAGAUAAUGUUAAAUUUGGAGACGCCUCCUCCAUGAAUAUUACCAAAGACAAAGAUGCAUUCUUUUGAACCACUCCAUUCACUGACCUCAUUCCAUUUCCAUUGGGCUGCAGUAAAAUGUAGUGCAUUGUGUCACUUGUGUAGAAAGAACAUGGUUUGGAUUUUCUAUGAACCAACAGAAGACUCACUUAAACCCCCGCUUUUAUUUUUCAUUUUUUAAAGUUUUAUUGAAUUCCCUGUGCUGUACAGUAAGACCUCAUUGCUUAUCCAUUAUAAAUGUAAUAGUUUGCUCUACCAACCCCAAAUUCCCAAUUCAUUCUCCCCUCUCUCACCUCCCUCUUGACAACCACAGGUCUGUUGAGUCUGUCUCUGUGAGUCUAUUUCUAUUUUGUAGAUAGGUUCAUUUGUUACGUAUUUCGAGGUCCACAUAGAAGUGUUGUCAUAUGGUAUUUGUCUUUCUCUUUCAGACUUACUUCACUUAGUAUGAGAAUCUCUAGUCACAUCCAUGUUGCUGCAAAUGGCAUUAUUUUGUUAUUUUUUAUGGCUGAGUAGUAUUCCGUUGUAUGUAUAUACCACAUCUUUUUAAUCCAUUCAUCUGUUGAUGGACAUUUAGAUUGUUUCAUGUCUUGAUUGUCGUAAAUACUGCUGCAAUAAACAUAGGGGUGCAUGUUUCUUUUUGAAGACCCCUCCUUUUUUUUUUAGCUUCUAUUAUUUAUUCUAGGAUUCUCAGAGAUGUACUAUAAUUUAUUUCAAUAAACUCUUUCCUGAGUAUCUAGUUGGCGUUUAAAAGAUAGAGGCCUAGAGUUCCUGUUGUGGCACAGUGGAAAUGAAUCUGACUAGAAACCAUGAGGUUGUGGGUUCCAUCCCUGGCCUUUCUCAGUGGGUUAAGGAUCUGGUGUUGCUGUGAGCUGUGGCGUAGGUCACAAAUGUGGUUUGAAUCCUGUGUUGCUGUGGCUGUGGUGUAGGCCAGCAGCUAUAUCUCCCAUUCAACCCCUAGCCUGGGAACCUCCACAUGCCACUGGUAUGGAUGAAAAAAGAAGCUCCCUCCUUUUAAAACUUAUUUGGAAAAAUAGUUUUUAAUAGAUCUUUUUUUACUAUCACAAAAGAGAUAGUUUUCUUUUUCUCUUAAAAAUAUAAACAAUUUAGCUUAAAUAUUAUAAAUUCUGUAUUUUGGCUUAAUUUUGACAUUUUAUUGAAACUUUAAAUAUUAGCAAUUUUAUAAGGGAGAUAUUUUAAGUAGAAAAAUAUCUAUCUACAAGAGAGGGUUGGUUUCUUUACCUUCAUGAAAAAAUUUUUUCUCAAGGUUAAACUUCUUAGCUAUUAUUAAUUUAUUUGUGUAGUAUUUUUUUGGCUAAAAGAAAAAUAUUGUAUGUUGUAGUUUAGGGUUUGCACAUGACAAUUCUAGUUAAAAGUUAAAUGACUUGGACUUCCCGUGUGGCUCACAACAUAACUACUCGGCGUUGCUUCUACAGUGGCUGUGGCUCGACCCCUGGCCUGGGAACUUCCAUAUGCCACAAGUGCGGCCACUUCUUUAAAAAAAAAAAAAA
Molecule: long non-coding RNA, 6422 nt
Filed under: Sus scrofa (pig)
Lineage: Eukaryota; Metazoa; Chordata; Mammalia; Artiodactyla; Suidae
Description: lncRNA (ENSSSCG00050059522.1)
Source: RNAcentral